UGGGGAAUUUUGGACAAUGGGCGAAAGCCUGAUCCAGCAAUGCCGCGUGUGUGAAGAAGGCCUUCGGGUUGUAAAGCACUUUUGUCCGGAAAGAAAUCCUUGGCUCUAAUACAGUCGGGGGAUGACGGUACCGGAAGAAUAAGCACCGGCUAACUACGUGCCAGCAGCCGCGGUAAUACGUAGGGUGCAAGCGUUAAUCGGAAUUACUGGGCGUAAAGCGUGCGCAGGCGGUUUGCUAAGACCGAUGUGAAAUCCCCGGGCUCAACCCGGGAACUGCAUUGGUGACUGGCAGGCUAGAGUAUGGCAGAGGGGGGUAGAAUUCCACGUGUAGCAGUGAAAUGCGUAGAGAUGUGGAGGAAUACCGAUGGCGAAGGCAGCCCCCUGGGCCAAUACUGACGCUCAUGCACGAAAGCGUGGGGAGCAAACAGGAUUAGAUACCCUGGUAGUCCACGCCCUAAACGAUGUUAACUAGUUGUUGGGGAUUCAUUUUCCUUAGUAACGUAGCUAACGCGUGAAGUUGACCGCCUGGGGAGUACGGUCGCAAGAUUAAAACUUAAAGGAAUUGACGGGGUCAUAGCUGUUUCCU
RNAcentral lists this ribosomal RNA (586 nucleotides) under uncultured bacterium. RNAcentral's name for it is "partial 16S ribosomal RNA". It matches the Rfam family "Bacterial small subunit ribosomal RNA", at positions 355 to 1375 of the family's 1533-position model. The record is from RNAcentral.